GUAGGGAAUCUUCCACAAUGGACGAAAGUCUGAUGGAGCAACGCCGCGUGAGUGAAGAAGGUCUUCGGAUCGUAAAACUCUGUUGUUAGAGAAGAACGUGCAUGAUAGUAACUGAUCAUGUAAUGACGGUAUCUAACCAGACAGCCACGGCUAACUACGUGCCAGCAGCCGCGGUAAUACGUAGGUGGCAAGCGUUGUCCGGAUUUAUUGGGCGUAAAGGGAACGCAGGCGGUUUUUUAAGUCUGAUGUGAAAGCCUUCGGCUUAACCGAAGAAUAGCAUUGGAAGCUGGAAGACAGGAGUGAAGAAGAGGAGAGUGGAAUUCCAUGUGUAGCGGUGAAAUGCGUAGAUACCAUCAGGAACACCGAUAGCGAAGGCAUUGUACUGGCCGACAACUGACGCUGAUGCACGAAAGUGUGGGGAUCGAACAGGAUUAGAAACCCUAGUAGUCC
RNAcentral lists this ribosomal RNA (450 nucleotides) under uncultured bacterium. RNAcentral describes it as "partial 16S ribosomal RNA". It matches the Rfam family "Bacterial small subunit ribosomal RNA", at positions 354 to 796 of the family's 1533-position model. The record is from RNAcentral.